CCCCAUAAUUUACAGAUUGGGGCUGAUAAGAUAGAAAUCUGCUAAUUUCUACCAUUCCAGGAAUUUCUGCUACUGGCAGGUGAUCCACAAACCACCAGAGAUGAACUUAAAUAGCCCCAGAUACGUUCAGUUGAAUUUGCAAAUAUAAAUAAAAUUUGUUUCACAUACCACAAACGCAAUAAUGAUGCAAUUAAUCAAAUAUGACGUUAUUUUCUAGGACUCUAACCACAAGGGAAUAUCGGUGAGAAGAAAAUCAGAAAUGCAAACUCCAGCUCCAGAGGAGAGACCCGUACUUUUGUCUUCAUGUGAGAUGCUGUUUAUUACUUUCAUCCUGGUAACAUGGUAAUCCUAAAACUUCAAGAAAUAUUCUCCAAAAUGAUGAAUAUGUCUGGAAUUAGUAAUCUUUCCAAUCCCCCAGAACAAAUGGGAAGAGAAAUAACUAUCGUGUCUAAUCAGAAAUCACUUGCAAUUUCAAACAACUAUUUAUCAGGACCUCUUGAAAUAAGACAUUCUAAUCCUGGAAAUUUACAAAAGAUGCAAUGAGAGAGCAUCUACACUACUUUCUGAUAGAAAAAUUACACAGGAAUUACCUCAAUUAAUAGAUCUUACUCUCAGUUGCAAAACUAAACAUUUGUAAACAUGCCAGGCUGUGUCUCUUUUCCAGCUGAAUCCAUUUGAAUCCAUGAAGUUAUUUGGCUUCUACUCCAAAUACUCAAGCAGCACAGGUCUUGUUAAAAUUGGCCCAAUCAUGUAAAGAAGUUUGUGAAGCAUUCAGUAAAUAUUAUUCUAUUUUAAAAUUUGUAACCAGAUCCCUCAUUGGGUGUGUCUCAUUUAAAUUGGUUAUAUUUCUAAACAAAAGUGUUCUAUGUCCCAAUGAAUAUUCUAAUAGUAUGUAAGCCAAAACCUAAAGUAUGGUGCAAAACAACCUUGUUCUCUGCUAUUUCCUAAGUAUACAGAUUAAAUUUUCUUGUCUUGAAUUUCAUAUACUUUUCUAAUAAUAAUAGAGAAACUAGCUUAUACCACAAUCAGUCCUACUUUUGAUAAUACCACAUUCUGGAUGAAAAAAAAAAGUAAGCAUUCCUCUAAAUCCACUGAAUUACAAAAUUAAAAUUAUAAUUGUGUUCCACAGUAGAUAGAGGCACUAUUUCCCUCUACAGAUAAGUCUACAAAAAUAAAUAAACAAAUAAUAAAUAAUAAAUAAAUUUU
This 1206-nucleotide long non-coding RNA is filed under the name Felis catus (domestic cat). RNAcentral's name for it is "lncRNA (ENSFCAG00000040280.2)". The record is from RNAcentral. Lineage: Eukaryota; Metazoa; Chordata; Mammalia; Carnivora; Felidae.